UAUUUACUAUUUGGCAGAACAUUGCGAUAGAUUUAGAAUCAAUACAAGCUCAU
Molecule: transfer RNA, 53 nt
Filed under: Loxosceles laeta
Lineage: Eukaryota; Metazoa; Arthropoda; Arachnida; Araneae; Sicariidae
Description: tRNA-Leu
Source: RNAcentral